AGCAGCCGCGGUAAUUCCAGCUCCAAUAGCGUAUAUUAAAGUUGUUGCAGUUAAAAAGCUCGUAGUUGAAUUUCGGGAUCAAUACGUCGGUCGUGCCUCCGGUAUGUACUGGUGUUAUUGAUUUCUCCCUUCUGAUGAACCAUGAUGUCAUUAAUUUGAUGUUGUGGGGAGUCAGGACUGUUACUUAUGAAAAAUUGAGUGUUUAAAGCAGGCUCACGCUUGAAUACAUUAGCAUGGAAUAAUGAAAUAGGACGUUCGAUCCUAUUUUGUUGGUUUCUAGGAUCAACGUAAUGAUUAAUAGGGAUAGUUGGGGGCAUUAGUAUUCAAUUGUCAGAGGUGAAAUUCUUGGAUUUAUGAAGACUAACUACUGCGAAAGCAUUUGCCAAGGAUGUUUUCAUUAAUCAAGAACGAAAGUUAGGGG
This 421-nucleotide ribosomal RNA is filed under the name uncultured Glomus. Its description in RNAcentral is "SSU rRNA". It matches the Rfam family "Eukaryotic small subunit ribosomal RNA", at positions 569 to 996 of the family's 1831-position model. Lineage: Eukaryota; Fungi; Glomeromycota; Glomeromycetes; Glomerales; Glomeraceae. The record is from RNAcentral.